RNAcentral lists this small nuclear RNA (107 nucleotides) under Myotis davidii. The record is from RNAcentral. Lineage: Eukaryota; Metazoa; Chordata; Mammalia; Chiroptera; Vespertilionidae.
AUGCUCGCUUCGGCAGCACAUAUACUAAAACUGGAACGAUACAGAGAAGAUUAGCAUGGCCCCUGCGCAAGAUUGACACACAAAUUCAUGAAGCAUUCCAUAUAAAA